GACGAACGCUGGCGGCGUGCCUAACACAUGCAAGUCGAACGGAGCCGGCCCCGCAAGGGACUGGCUUAGUGGCGAACGGGUGAGUAACGCGUGAGGAACCUGCCUUUCAGUGGGGGACAACAGUUGGAAACGACUGCUAAUACCGCAUGAUACAUUUGGGUGGCAUCAUCUGAAUGUCAAAGAUUUAUCGCUGAAAGAUGGCCUCGCGUCUGAUUAGCUGGUUGGUGAGGUAACGGCCCACCAAGGCGACGAUCAGUAGCCGGUCUGAGAGGAUGAACGGCCACAUUGGGACUGAGACACGGCCCAGACUCCUAAAACGGGNGGCAGCAGUGGGGAAUCUUCCGCAAUGGGACGAAAGCCUGACGGAGCAAUGCCGCGUGAGUGAU
RNAcentral lists this ribosomal RNA (386 nucleotides) under uncultured bacterium. Its description in RNAcentral is "bacterial SSU rRNA". It matches the Rfam family "Bacterial small subunit ribosomal RNA", at positions 28 to 409 of the family's 1533-position model. The record is from RNAcentral.